This 450-nucleotide ribosomal RNA is filed under the name uncultured bacterium. Its description in RNAcentral is "partial 16S ribosomal RNA". It matches the Rfam family "Bacterial small subunit ribosomal RNA", at positions 331 to 795 of the family's 1533-position model. The record is from RNAcentral.
CCAGACUCCUACGGGAGGCAGCAGUGGGGAAUAUUGGGCAAUGGGCGCAAGCCUGACCCAGCAACGCCGCGUGAAGGAAGAAGGCUUUCGGGUUGUAAACUUCUUUUGUCAGGGACGAAGCAAGUGACGGUACCUGACGAAUAAGCCACGGCUAACUACGUGCCGGCAGCCGCGGUAAUACGUAGGGGGCAAGCGUUAUCCGGAUUUACUGGGUGUAAAGGGCGUGUAGGCGGGACUGCAAGUCAGAUGUGAAAACCACGGGCUCAACCUGUGGCCUACAUUUGAAACUGUAGUUCUUGAGUACUGGAGAGGCAGACGGAAUUCCUAGUGUAGCGGUGAAAUGCGUAGAUAUUAGGAGGAACACCAGUGGCGAAGGCGGUCUGCUGGACAGCAACUGACGCUGAGGCGCGAAAGCGUGGGGAGCAAACAGGAUUAGAUACCCCGGUAAAC